UCCCUGGUGGUCCAGUGGUUAAGACUCUGCGCUUCUGAAGCAGGGGGCAUAGGUUCAAUCCCUGACCAGGGAA
Non-coding RNA from Budorcas taxicolor (takin), 73 nucleotides. The record is from the annotation of a RefSeq genome assembly. NCBI's taxonomy places the organism in Eukaryota, Metazoa, Chordata, Mammalia, Artiodactyla, Bovidae.